UCCAGACUCCUACGGGAGGCAGCAGUGAGGAAUAUUGGUCAAUGGGCGGGAGCCUGAACCAGCCAAGUCGCGUGAGGGAAGACGGUCCUACGGAUUGUAAACCUCUUUUGCCGGGGAGCAACGGGGUCCUUGCGAGGGCCCGAUGAGAGUACCUGGAGAAAAAGCAUCGGCUAACUCCGUGCCAGCAGCCGCGGUAAUACGGAGGAUGCGAGCGUUAUCCGGAUUUAUUGGGUUUAAAGGGUGCGUAGGCGGGCUGUUAAGUCAGCGUUCAAAUGUCGGGGCUCAACCCCGGCCUGCCGUUGAAACUGGCUGUCUUGAGAUGUCGAGAGGUAUGCGGAAUGCGCAGUGUAGCGGUGAAAUGCUUAGAUAUUGCGCAGAACUCCGAUUGCGAAGGCAGCAUACCGGCGGCGAUCUGACGCUGAGGCACGAAAGCGUGGGUAUCGAACAGGAUUAGAUACCCUUGUAA
This 466-nucleotide ribosomal RNA is filed under the name uncultured bacterium. RNAcentral's name for it is "bacterial SSU rRNA". It matches the Rfam family "Bacterial small subunit ribosomal RNA", at positions 330 to 793 of the family's 1533-position model. The record is from RNAcentral.